AACACUGUUAACCUGCGGUACCUGCGGAGGGAUCAUUACCGAGUGUGGUCCCAUAAGGGGCGCCUCCCGUCCUUUGCAGGGCCUUUAGGGGCUUUUUGACUUUGCUUCGGCGGGCUUGCCCCGCCGGAACACCCUCAAGAAAAUCUUUAUGAACCGUUUGUCUGAGUUGCUUGCGAAUAAAAACAAAACUUUCAGCAAUGGAUCU
Molecule: unclassified non-coding RNA, 205 nt
Filed under: soil metagenome
Description: partial contains 5.8S ribosomal RNA, internal transcribed spacer 2, and large subunit ribosomal RNA
Source: RNAcentral